UACGAAGGGUGCUAGCGUUGUUCGGAAUUACUGGGCGUAAAGCGUGCGCAGGCGGCUUCUCAAGUCAGGGGUGAAAGCCCAGAGCUCAACUCUGGAAUUGCCAUUGAUACUGUAGGGCUUGAGUACAGAUGCCGUUGGCGGAAUAUGACAUGUAGUGGUGAAAUACAUAGAGAUGUCAUAGAACACCGAUUGCGAAGGCAGCUGACGAAACUGUAACUGACACUGAGGCUCGAAAGUGUGGGGAUCAAACAGG
RNAcentral lists this ribosomal RNA (253 nucleotides) under uncultured bacterium. RNAcentral's name for it is "partial 16S ribosomal RNA". It matches the Rfam family "Bacterial small subunit ribosomal RNA", at positions 524 to 776 of the family's 1533-position model. The record is from RNAcentral.